Molecule: ribosomal RNA, 557 nt
Filed under: uncultured bacterium
Lineage: Bacteria
Description: bacterial SSU rRNA
Rfam family: Bacterial small subunit ribosomal RNA
Source: RNAcentral
ACGGGUGCGUAACGCGUGGGAAUCUGCCCUUAGGUUCGGAAUAACAGCUGGAAACGGCUGCUAAUACCGGAUGAUGACGAAAGUCCAAAGAUUUAUUGCCUGAGGAUGAGCCCGCGUUGGAUUAGGUAGUUGGUGGGGUAAAGGCCUACCAAGCCGACGAUCCAUAGCUGGUCUGAGAGGAUGAUCAGCCACAUUGGGACUGAGACACGGCCCAGACUCCUACGGGAGGCAGCAGUGGGGAAUAUUGGGCAAUGGGCGAAAGCCUGAUCCAGCAAUGCCGCGUGAGUGAUGAAGGCCCUAGGGUUGUAAAGCUCUUUUACCCGGGAAGAUAAUGACUGUACCGGGAGAAUAAGCCCCGGCUAACUCCGUGCCAGCAGCCGCGGUAAUACGGAGGGGGCUAGCGUUGUUCGGAAUUACUGGGCGUAAAGCGCACGUAGGCGGCUUUGUAAGUCAGAGGUGAAAGCCUGGAGCUCAACUCCAGAACUGCCUUUGAGACUGCAUCGCUUGAAUCCAGGAGAGGUCAGUGGAAUUCCGAGUGUAGAGGUGAAAUUCGUAGA